AUUGAACGCUGGCGGCAGGCCUAACACAUGCAAGUCGAGCGAGUGGCGGACGGGUGAGUAAUGUCUGGGGAUCUGCCUGAUGGAGGGGGAUAACUACUGGAAACGGUAGCUAAUACCGCAUACCAUCAGAUGUACCCAUAUGGGAUUAGCUUGUUGGUGAGGUAACGGCUCACCAAGGCGACGAUCCCUAGCUGGUCUGAGAGGAUGACCAGCAACACUGGAACUGAGACACGGGCCAGACUCCUACGGGAGGCAGCAGUGGGGAAUAUUGCACAAUGGGCGCAAGCCUGAUGCAGCCAUGCCGCGUGUAUGAAGAAGGCCUUCGGGUUGUAAAGUACUUUCAGUCGGGAGGCGUUACCCGCAGAAGAAGCACCGGCUAACUCCGUGCCAGCCGCCGCGGUAAUAC
RNAcentral lists this ribosomal RNA (406 nucleotides) under uncultured bacterium. RNAcentral's name for it is "partial 16S ribosomal RNA". It matches the Rfam family "Bacterial small subunit ribosomal RNA", at positions 30 to 526 of the family's 1533-position model. The record is from RNAcentral.